Long non-coding RNA from Gordionus sp. m RMFG-2023, 388 nucleotides. RefSeq lists it as uncharacterized. The record is from RefSeq and is a predicted model, not a curated record. The transcript has 5 exons. Lineage: Eukaryota; Metazoa; Nematomorpha; Gordioida; Chordodea; Parachordodidae.
UUUUAAUGAGAAUUAUUUUAAAAUUAAUUUUUUUAAAAAUAAGAUAUGGUCUAGUUUUUUUUAUAAAUCUCUUUAAUAUCAAUCAUAAUAUGGCAAUUUGACUGGAUGAUAAACAAUCUGUGCGAUCAUUUGGACAUUUAAUGGUGCCAUGGGGAUAAACAUUCAUGAGAGACCAAUUGACGACUACUAUUUGAGACCCCAUAAAACAAGCAUGGCUAUUCCUGCAAUUAUUAGAGACAAACGAUGCACUAAACUGAACCGGCUAGCCCAUUAGAGGGUUCGAUAUUAAAAUUAUAAAUAAAAAUAAAGGUCCGAAGACCCAUGGCCAUAUUUCCUUACUAUUAUUUCUUGCCAGAUUGAAUAUCACAAUUAUACUCUGAUAUAAAAA